GACGAACUGUCCUAACGUUGUUCGGAAUCACUGGGCUUAAAGGGCGCGUAGGCGGUCCGAUCAGUCAGGGGUGAAAUCCUACAGCUUAACUGUAGAAGUGCCUCUGAUACUGUCGGUCUUGAGGGAGAUAGGGGUGUGCGGAACUUCCAGUGGAGCGGUGAAAUGCGUUGAUAUUGGAAGGAACGCCGGAGGCGAAAGCGGCGCACUGGAUCUCUUCUGACGCUGAGGCGCGAAAGCUAGGGGAGCAAACGGG
This 253-nucleotide ribosomal RNA is filed under the name uncultured bacterium. RNAcentral's name for it is "partial 16S ribosomal RNA". It matches the Rfam family "Bacterial small subunit ribosomal RNA", at positions 524 to 776 of the family's 1533-position model. The record is from RNAcentral.